CACGAAGAAAAUAUUUUGUUGUGAAUGAAUAAGGUAGUGAGGAAUUGUCCAUAUGUAAGAUCAUAAUUAUUGAUACGGGUCUUUUCCACAUAAAAAGGGAAUCUUUUGUUACAAUAGAACCAGAAGUGAUUUGGAUCAUUCAAGAAUCGAAGUCGAUUUGCUUUAUAAAAAGAAGAUAUCAAUGAACUUCUAUGAAAUGGUUUCACGGGAUUGAGCCAUUGUCUCGAUCAUGGAAUAUCAUUGAGAAAUAGGAAUCCGUGUUAUCAAAAAAUUUCCUACGAUUAUUUCUAGUAUAGAACAAGUCAAUCAUUCACUUUGGUAUCUUUUGAACAAAAAUGGUAAUGUUGUUCCUCCAUUGAUAAAGAAUUCCGGUCUUUGGGAAGUAUCAUGAUCAUCCAAUAAGAAGGGUUUCAAUUUAUUCAAAUGAACGAUUUGAACACCUAUUGAUUCUAACAACUGAUUGCGGAGUUGAUCAUUCGGACCUUUCAAUUUACGAAUAUGGAUCUUGGACCUAAGAGUGGGGAUAUUCCCGAUACUCACAAAGAAAAGGGGAAGUGACUUGGACAAAAAGAAACGAAGUGACUUAGACAAAUUUUGUUUGUCGAUAGCCUCGGACCAAUCAAUCGAAUAUUGAUUAAUAUGUAAUCAAUCAAAAUGAAAUGAAAUGUAAUGUGUAUCAAUAAAUCUUCAAUAGAUAUACUAUUCCAAAUGUUCAUGAAAAUGUUCCAUGACUGUAACGUGUAUCGAUAAAUCUGGAAUAGACAAAUUUUGUUUGUCGAUAGCCUCGGACCAAUCAAUCGAAUAUUGAUUAAUACGUAACCGAUCGAAAUGAAAUGAAAUGUAAUGUGUAUCGAUAAAUCUUGAAUAGAUAUACUAUUCUAAAUGUUCCUAAAAAUGUUCCAUGAUCGUAACGUGUAUCGAUAAAUCUUGAAUAGACAAAUCUUGUUUAUCGAUAGCCUCGGACCAAUCAAUCGAAUAUUGAUUAAUAUUGAGUAAUGUUCGAUUGGUUACGUAUUAAUCAAUAUUCGAUUGAAUAGAUUUUCCAUGACUAUAACGUAUAUCGAUAAAUCUUGAAUAUCGAUAAUAUAUUUAUCGAUAAAUGUAUCGAUAAAUGUUCAUCGAUAAAUAAAUCAAAUUGGAAAACGGAAAGAUUUGUACAAGUUAUACGUUUUGUCACCACUUUGUGGAAAAUCUUUAGGUAUGAAUAUGUUAGAUACCUAUGACUCGAUUGGUGAAAUAGUCUCUCUCCCAAAAAAUAUUUUUUUUUUUACCAACGCAUGGAGAAAAUAUUUUGUUGCGAAUGAACAAGGUAGUGAGGAAUUGUCCAUAUGUAAGAUCAUAAUUAUUGAUACGGGUCUUUUCCACAUAAAAAGGGAAUCUUUUGUUACAAUAGAACUAUAAGUGAUUUGGAUCAUUCAAGAAUCGAAGUCGAUUUGCUUUAUAAAAAGAAGAUAUCAAUGAACUUCUAUGAAAUGGUUUCACGGGAUUCAGCCAAUUGUCUCGAUCAUGGAAUAUCAUUGAGAAAUAGGAAUCUGUGUUAUCAAAGGAUUUCUUGCAAUUAUUUCUAGUAUAAAAUGAGU
This 1580-nucleotide long non-coding RNA is filed under the name Musa acuminata (dwarf banana). Its description in RNAcentral is "long non-coding RNA (MACU_LNC005240)". Lineage: Eukaryota; Viridiplantae; Streptophyta; Magnoliopsida; Zingiberales; Musaceae. The record is from RNAcentral.